CUUCCUCAUAAUCCUUCUCAAGGGCAACCAUGUCCUCAGAAAACUCUCCUUCCUCCAUGCCGUCAUCCACAUACCAGUAAACAAAGGCAUGCUUGGCAUACAUCAGGUCAAACUUGUGGUCCAGGAGAGCCCAGACCUCAGCAAUGGCUGUGGUUUUGCUCAGCAUGCACACAUCUUGCUGUACCUUGGUGGCCAGGUCUCCACCAGGUACCGCAGGGGAAGGCUGGUAAUUAAGCCAUCUUUGAAGCCAGUGGGGCACCAAUUCACAAACUGGAUGAUACUCUUGGUCCUGAUGGUGGCAAUGGCAGCAUUUACAUCUUUGGGAGCCACAUCACCAUGGUACAACAGGCAAUAAGCCAUGUGUUUACCAUGGCGAAGGUCACAUUUCACCAUCUGGUUGGCUGGCUCAGAGCAUGCAUUGGUGAUCUCCGCAACAGAAAGCUGUUCAUGGUGGGCUUUCUCAGUAGAAAUGACAGGGGCAUAUGUGGCCAGAGGGAAGUAGAUGUGGGAAUAGGGCCCCAGGGUGAUCUGGAAUUCUGUCAGAUCAACAUUCAGGGCUCCAUCAAAUCUGAGGGAAGCAGUGAUGGAGGACACAAUCUGACCUAUCAACCUAUUUAGGUUAGUGUAGGUUGGGUAUUCAAUAUCGAGGCUCCUACAACAGAUGUCAUAGAUGGCCUCAUUGUCUAUCAUGAAGGUAUAAUCAGACUGCUGCAGGGUGGUGUGGAUAGUGAGGAUGGAGUUGUAGGGCUCAGCUACAGCUGUGGAAACCUGGGGGGGGGGGCAGAAAAAUGGAGAACUCCAGCUUUGACUUCUUGCCAUAAUCCACAGAGAGAAGUUCCAUCAGCAGGGAGGUGAA
RNAcentral lists this long non-coding RNA (856 nucleotides) under Lynx pardinus (Iberian lynx). The record is from RNAcentral. Lineage: Eukaryota; Metazoa; Chordata; Mammalia; Carnivora; Felidae.